Long non-coding RNA from Colossoma macropomum (tambaqui), 351 nucleotides. RefSeq lists it as uncharacterized. The record is from RefSeq and is a predicted model, not a curated record. The transcript has 3 exons. Lineage: Eukaryota; Metazoa; Chordata; Actinopteri; Characiformes; Serrasalmidae.
GGGGUGCUGUGGGGGUUCUGACCAGAGAAACAAAUGGACCACAACCUGUAGCUGCAGACAUUCAGAAUGCAACUUCAUGCUGAUGCAGGAAUGGCUGUAUCAGAGGUGAGAAGGUCUUGCCAAGGGGAUGUUUCUGAGCUGAAAGAUGAGGCGAGCAAAGGUGUGCAUGGACCCGAAGUCAACAGGAGGACCUGGAUCUGGCUGAGAUUUGGUGACGGAAAGUGCUGGACCUUGUCUCGUCAAGCAUAAUUCUGGCUGCUGGUCAUACACAUGGCUGGAGUGCAUGAACAUGGUUAAUCAGAUGAGCAGGAACACCUAGUCAGCAGAAGAGGGGACAGAUCCAUGGAUGAA